GUCAUUCCUCGUGGAUUGUUUACAUUUGUGUUGCAGACGGUUUACGGGAUCCCAUUGAGGAAGCGAUUGCUUCAGGAUCAUGAAACUUCAUUCAUCCCUGCAUCACACUAUGAGGCAAGCAAGUGGAGAAAGUCAUUUAACCAUAAAAAUGGAGAGAAAAACAUGUUUUUACACUUUUUUGAGAUACCAAGUUUCUUACAGUGAUGAUAUUUAGACAGUAAAAUUCUGGGAUGAAGGACUAUCAAGUUUGUUCAUAUGAAUGACUUUCACCCAUGGUCUCAAGGGUCAAAUGGAUUAAAACAGUUCAGCGACUUCUGCUGAAU
Mizuhopecten yessoensis (Yesso scallop) is the source of this 323-nucleotide long non-coding RNA. RefSeq lists it as uncharacterized. The record is from RefSeq and is a predicted model, not a curated record. The transcript is spliced from 3 exons. Lineage: Eukaryota; Metazoa; Mollusca; Bivalvia; Pectinida; Pectinidae.